RNAcentral lists this ribosomal RNA (505 nucleotides) under uncultured bacterium. Its description in RNAcentral is "bacterial SSU rRNA". It matches the Rfam family "Bacterial small subunit ribosomal RNA", at positions 31 to 507 of the family's 1533-position model. The record is from RNAcentral.
AUGGAACGCUGGCGGCGGUGCCUAACACAUGACAGUCGAGCGAGAAAGUCCCCUUCGGGGGACGAGUAAAGCGGCGCACGGGUGAGUAACGCGUGGGUAACCUGCCCUUGAGUGGGGGAUAACCAGCCGAAAGGCUGACUAAUCCCGCAUACGACCGGCAGACACAAGUCUGUCGGGGAAAGAUGGCCUCUGCUUGCAAGCUAUCGCUCUUGGAUGGGCCCGCGUUGGAUUAGCUAGUUGGUGGGGUAACGGCCUACCAAGGCUGCGAUCCAUAGCUGGUUUGAGAGGACGACCAGCCACACUGGAACUGAGACACGGUCCAGACUCCUACGGGAGGCAGCAGUGAGGAAUAUUGCGCAAUGGGGGAAACCCUGACGCAGCGACGCCGUGUGAGCGAUGAAGGCCUUCGGGUCGUAAAGCUCUGUCAGAGGGAAAGAAAGGGUCGGCGGAAUAAUACCCGCCGACAUUGACGGUACCCUCGGAGGAAGCACCGGCUAACUCCGUG